GAUGAACGCUGGCGGCGUGCCUAAUACAUGCAAGUCGAGCGAACAGACGAGGAGCUUGCUCCUCUGACGUUAGCGGCGGACGGGUGAGUAACACGUGGAUAACCUACCUAUAAGACUGGGAUAACUUCGGGAAACCGGUGCUAAUACCGGAUAAUAUAUUUAACCGCAUGGUUCAAUAGUGAAAGACGGUUUUGCUGUCACUUAUAGAUGGAUCCGCGCCGCAUUAGCUAGUUGGUAAGGUAACGGCUUACCAAGGCAACGAUGCGUAGCCGACCUGAGAGGGUGAUCGGCCACACUGGAACUGAGACACGGUCCAGACUCCUACGGGAGGCAGCAGUAGGGAAUCUUCCGCAAUGGGCGAAAGCUUGACGGAGCAACGCCGCGUGAGUGAUGAAGGUCUUCGGAUCGUAAAACUCUGUUAUUAGGGAAGAACAAAUGUGUAAGUAACUAUGCACGUCUUGACGGUACCUAAUCAGAAAGCCACGGCUAACUACGUG
This 497-nucleotide ribosomal RNA is filed under the name uncultured bacterium. Its description in RNAcentral is "partial 16S ribosomal RNA". It matches the Rfam family "Bacterial small subunit ribosomal RNA", at positions 28 to 507 of the family's 1533-position model. The record is from RNAcentral.